UACGUAGGGAGCAAGCGUUGUUCGGAAUUACUGGGCGUAAAGAGUGCGUAGGCGGUGCCUUAAGUCUGUUGUGAAAUCUCCCGGCUUAACUGGGAGGGUGCGGUGGAAACUGGGGUGCUUGAGUGUGGGAGAGGUAAGCGGAAUUCCUGGUGUAGCGGUGAAAUGCGUAGAUAUCAGGAGGAACACCGGUGGUGUAGACGGCUUACUGGACCACGACUGACACUGAGGCACGAAAGCGUGGGUAGCAAACAGG
This 253-nucleotide ribosomal RNA is filed under the name uncultured bacterium. RNAcentral describes it as "partial 16S ribosomal RNA". It matches the Rfam family "Bacterial small subunit ribosomal RNA", at positions 524 to 776 of the family's 1533-position model. The record is from RNAcentral.